AUUGAACGCUGGCGGCAGGCCUAACACAUGCAAGUCGAACGAGUGGCGGACGGGUGAGUAAUGACUGGGAAACUGGCAGAUGGAGGGGGAUAACGAAUGGAAACGGUAGCUAAUACCGCAUACCAUCGGAUGAGCCCAGAUGGGAUUAGCUAGUGGGGGGGGUACCGGCGCACCUAGGCCACGAUCCCUAGCUGGUCAGAGAGGAGGACCAGCCACACGGGAACUGAGCCACGGUCCAGACUCCGACGGGAGGCAGCAGUGGGGAAUAUUGCACAAUGGGCGCAAGCCUGAUGCAGCCAUGCCGCGUGUAUGAAGAAGGCCUUCGGGUUGUAAAGUACUUUCAGCGAGGAGGCGUUACUCGCAGAAGAAGCACCGGCUAACUCCGUGCCAGCAGCCGCGGUAAUUC
Molecule: ribosomal RNA, 406 nt
Filed under: uncultured bacterium
Lineage: Bacteria
Description: partial 16S ribosomal RNA
Rfam family: Bacterial small subunit ribosomal RNA
Source: RNAcentral